This is a long non-coding RNA of Cornus florida, 600 nucleotides long. RefSeq lists it as uncharacterized. The transcript is spliced from 3 exons. The record is from RefSeq and is a predicted model, not a curated record. Lineage: Eukaryota; Viridiplantae; Streptophyta; Magnoliopsida; Cornales; Cornaceae.
UUUUCAUUCUAUGCCUCCCUCGCGAUCCGCCGAACCCUCAUUUAUAGGGCAAAAAAAAAUCAAAUCCGUAAAACUCACUUCCCUCCUCUGAAUAAAAUCCCCACUUUUGGUCUUACCUUUCUUGCUAUGCUAUGCCGCCUCAAUCAUCAGGAACUCUUAUUCUUCCUCUCGCUUCUAAAUCCUUGCUGAUAUAUAUUUUAUUCAGGUUUACUUAUUGGGAAGGGAGAAUUAUUUGGAUUGAGUAGAUUCGGAAAAGAGUGACCUCUGAGCCGGUAAAUUAUAUUAAUAAUGGAGUCAUAAAAGUUCUUGUGGCCCAAAUGGAGGACAAAUAGAGUCAAGGUGGAUCCAUGGUUUGAAAGGACAAUCAUAUGGUGAAAUGAUGACCACCAUCUAUUUGCUUGAGUAUAGUUUGUCCUACCCCCAAAGGAGAGGUGUACAUCCUCUAAGGAAUAUUCUCAUGCCUUGCGAUUCAGUUGUUGACCUGUGAUAAAUUACAGUUUGUUGUUUGAAAGUUUAUCAAUAUCAGUAAAUAAUCUUGCUCACUGUUGGUUGCUUUAGUAAAUUGAUUUUAACCAAGUAUUAUUCCUUGGUGUUUCAUUA